RNAcentral lists this ribosomal RNA (262 nucleotides) under uncultured prokaryote. Its description in RNAcentral is "partial 16S ribosomal RNA". It matches the Rfam family "Bacterial small subunit ribosomal RNA", at positions 524 to 784 of the family's 1533-position model. The record is from RNAcentral.
UACGUAGGGUGGCAAGCGUUAUCCGGAAUUAUUGGGCGUAAAGAGUGCGCAGGUGGUUGAUUAAGUCUGAUGUGAAAGCCCACGUCUUAACCGUGGAGGGUCAUUGGAAACUGGUCGACUUGAGUGCAGAAGAGGGAAGUGGAAUUCCAUGUGUAGCGGUGAAAUGCGUAGAGAUAUGGAGGAACACCAGUGGCGAAGGCGGCUUCCUGGUCUGUAACUGACACUGAGGCGCGAAAGCGUGGGGAGCAAACAGGAUUAGAUA